This is a long non-coding RNA of Mytilus californianus (California mussel), 3376 nucleotides long. RefSeq lists it as uncharacterized. The record is from RefSeq and is a predicted model, not a curated record. NCBI's taxonomy places the organism in Eukaryota, Metazoa, Mollusca, Bivalvia, Mytilida, Mytilidae. The transcript is spliced from 4 exons.
UAGAAACAAUCUGUUUGCGAUUGGUCAAUCUGUAAAAUUAGCAAAUGUGGAAAAUACAUAAGAUAUACAAGACAGUCACCAAAUACAAACAAACAAACAACAAAAAACAACAAAAAAACACACACAUAUGCACCAUCAAAUUAGACUGUCAAUAUUGAUAACAGCAGUGAGAAACUGUAUACAUUUUAUGAAUAAUUAUAUGAAAUACAGAAUCUAUAAAACUAGAGGAAAUGAGGAAGUCUGGAAAGGUCGACAUAUCCGUUUGCAUCAGUUAUUGGGUUGUUCACUAACCUUGUGGAUCGAUUAUUUCUUGGUCCCCGAAUAACAAAGUGAAGCAAAAAAUGCAUUUAACCAUUUGAUUUUAAAAUUUGAGCUCGUGGUAUUUCUAGCUAUGAACGAGAUUCACCAUAAUGUUUCCCGGGGAAAAUGAUUUUUAUUUCUUCCGAUGCUUAUAAUCAUUAUUUCAAACUGAAAAUUAUCGAUAUAUUACCUACUGCAUGCUAAUGAAUUUGGAAAAAAAACUGGUUAACGAAGAGACACCGAGAAAAUUCAAGGCGAAAAAUGAUGACUCAUAAUAUCAAAUAACUUUAUAUUUGUACUUAAAUAAUAACAGCGAGGUUCCUUAAAACAAGUUUUAUUAGAGUCAUAUCUAUACGAAUAAUAAAAAUCCACACAGCAUACACAUACAUAUAGAAUGAUGACAUUUUUGUUUUUGAAACUGACUUUAUCACCAAGAAUAUCAAGCGAGCCCGCUAAGGCGAGCUGAUAUUCGAGCUGAUGGUCAGUAUAAAAAAAAAACAUUAUUCUUUUUAUCGGCAAUUUGUUUUAACUGGAUGUCUUAUUUUUGGUUGAGAAUAUGAAGUAAAAUGAUAUAGUAAGUAAAACUACUUCUAUGCGUACAAAAAGUUGGACUAGACUUGUUCGGUUGUAUUCGUGAAUGAAAUCGAUGCGGAUGGAUUUGAGCACGUGACGUUGCUGCACUGAUACAUGACGGCAUUGUCUAGUAUUUUCGAGUAUCAAGUCCUGUCCAUGUUCUUAAAAAUAUUAGGCAGUAUAAGAUCAAAGGGAAAAUGUACAAAUUGCCGAUAAAUACAUUAAAUAUGCCAUUCUGAUACUACAGGUAAUGGUAUUAUUUGUUUUUUUUUUUUAACAUACAAACAUUAUAAUACGGUAACUUUAUUUCGGUUUUUAUUCCUUUUAACUUACCUGUAGUUGAAACUACUUUUAAUAUUCAAUUAUCUAUACUUUUAUAUUUAUACUGAUCGGUAGUGGUUGCAUGAUGUAUAGACGUUUCAGGCAUUGCAUGUAUCUCUACAUUUCCUCUAUCAACUAUAUUCUCCUCAAUUUUUAACAUGUUAACUUUGCUACUUGCAGAUGUCCAUCAUAAGACGCUUUCGACAAAUUUGAAGAUACUGUUUUCAUUAAUUGUUCAAAAUUUUAUUUCUUUGUCAUUUUUCGGCCACUAAACCUCCAAAUUUAUUUAAUAUUUUCAAGUCUGAUAACAAAUGAGAUUGUUCGUUGUCCACCAAUCCUGAUCUUGUGCUAGUAAUCACAUGUUCUUUAGGCCAAAGUACAGAACACGAUAUGUAUGAUCAUGUAAGAUGUACUGUUCCAGUUUUGUUAAUGUUUUCUCUGGUUAUUCUCUAUUUUUUUUUUUAGUAUAUAUUCCGAUUAACAUCUUUUCAAUGAACGCCCUUUUCUUUUUCUUUUCUUAAUUCAUAUGUUUUCUUCAAGAUAAAAAGUAUCAUUGUCAUUCAUUAAUUGCUAAAUUCUGUUUUGGAAAAGGAUUACACGAGGAACGGGGAAGUUUUGAAGAAAUUAGAAAAUAUAAAUAAUUGAGUAUUUUAAAACUCUGUACCUUCAAUUACUCUUUUUCUUUAUUCAUGCUGACCUAAUACUUUGACAUAUAUUUCAAAUGGGAAGUCGGUGUGUUGAGACAAAUGUAAAUUCGCUACCGAUUUCUGGUGUUGUAUGUCUCUAGCUAGAUAGUCUGGUAUAAUAAAAAUAUGCACACAGUUCUCUCAUUCAGCCAUUAUGGAAGUCGUUUUUCCCGACUUACUGUUAAAUCAUGUACGUUCUGACUUGCCAGUUACUAUUUUACAACUCUGUCAUAUCCAAGAUUGGAUCCAGGAGUCAUAUUUGAUUGUAUUCUGUGACUUAUUCUGAAUUGAUGUCGAUGGGUUUAAAUUUUGUAACUUACAAAAAUAAUGUUUUCAUAAUCAUUCUGUUUUAAGAAGAUGAUUAUUUAUAAAUCGAACAAAAGGGGGAAGUGGGGGUAUGUAUAUGUUUAACAUUCAACAGGAAUUGACAAAAAAGACAUAAUGGUUUCUAUAUCGUGCAAAACUCCACUUAAAAUAUAAAUCAGUUUCCCGAAUAAUGUCCUCAAUAAUUCUUAAACGUCCACAAAAAAAACAUUGGGAGGUAUACUGUUCUCCAGUAUUCAUACGAGUGGUCUGCGUUUUAUAACAUUGGGUGGUAUACUGUUCUCCAGUUUUCAUACGAAUGGUCUGCGUUUUAUGGCAUUGGGAGGUAUACUGUUCUCCAGUUUUCAUACGAGUGGUCUGCGUUUUAUAACAUUGGGAGGUAUACUGUUCUCCAGUUUUCAUACGAGUGGUCUGCGUUUUAUAACAUUGGGAGGUAUAUUGCUCUCCAGUUUUCAUACGAGUGGUCUGCGUUUUAUAACAUUGGGAGGUAUACUGUUCUCCAGUUUUCAUACGAGUGGUCUGCGUUUUAUAACAUUGGGAGGUAUACUGUUCUCCAGUUUUCAUACGAGUGGUCUGCGUUUUAUAACAUUGGGAGGUAUAAUGUUCUCCAGUUUUCAUACGAGUGGUCUGCGUUUUAUAACAUUGGGAGGUAUACUGUUCUCCAGUUUUCAUACGAGUGGUCUGCGUUUUAUAACAUUGGGAGGUAUAAUGUUCUCCAGUUUUCAUACGAGUGGUCUGCGUUUUAUAACAUUGGGAGGUAUAUUGCUCUCCAGUUUUCAUACGAGUGGUCUGCGUUUUAUAACUUGAGUAAUCCAAGUUUUUGACAACUACUUGGUUAUGUGUUUUCGGACCACUAGGAAUUAGUUUCAUUAUAGAGUAGAAUCCUGUUAAAGCCCUUACUUGCAGCGGACUUGAUUAGAUUUGUUUUCGUCAAUCAAAACUUUGAUUUAAACUCGGUAUCACCCUCCCACCCCCCGCGACUCUUAGACCCCAUGGAACAAACAUGGCGAUGCCCUUAAGGGGAAAUCAUAAGAUUAGUAUGUACUUAGUUCGUAAGUUUGAAGGUACAAAAUUUUCAGAGUCACAUUUGGUAAGCACUUUCUACUCUUGGAUCCAUUCUUGAUACAUGUAGAUACUAAUAUCCUGCUUUGUAUAUUGUAACCUUGGCUUUC